GACGAACGCUGGCGGCACGCCUAACACAUGCAAGUCGAACGGACUUAAAAGAGCUUGCUUUUUUAAGUUAGUGGCGGACGGGUGAGUAACACGUGAGCAACCUGCCUCUGAGAGGGGGAUAGCUUCUGGAAACGGAUGGUAAUACCCCAUAAAAUAUAAAUAUCGCAUGAUAGAUAUAUCAAAGAAAUUCGCUCAGAGAUGGGCUCGCGUCUGAUUAGAUAGUUGGUGAGGUAACGGCUCACCAAGUCGACGAUCAGUAACCGGACUGAGAGGUUGAACGGCCACAUUGGGACUGAGACACGGCCCAGACUCCUACGGGAGGCAGCAGUGGGGAAUAUUGCACAAUGGAGGGAACUCUGAUGCAGCGAUGCCGCGUGGAGGAAGAAGGUUUUCGGAUUGUAAACUCCUUUUAUCAGGGACGAUAAUGACGGUACCUGAAGAAAAAGCUCCGGCUAACUACGUG
RNAcentral lists this ribosomal RNA (463 nucleotides) under uncultured bacterium. Its description in RNAcentral is "partial 16S ribosomal RNA". It matches the Rfam family "Bacterial small subunit ribosomal RNA", at positions 28 to 507 of the family's 1533-position model. The record is from RNAcentral.